CGGAUCUUGGCGGCGGAAUAAGACAUGCAAGUCGAACGAAAGUCGUUAUAUUGAUUUUGAUUUUAAUUUGAGGAUUUAUCCGAUAAAAGAAUGAGAAUGAUAUAUAACAAUGGCUUUAGUGGCGGACUGGUGAGUAACGCGUAAGCAAUCUACCUAUUAGAGGGGAAUAACAGUGAGAAAUCAUUGCUAAUACCGCAUAUGCCAUAAUUAUCACAUGAUAAUAGUGGGAAAGGAGUAAUCCGCUAAUAGAUGAGCUUGCGUCUGAUUAGCUAGUUGGUAGGGUAAUGGCCUACCAAGGCGACGAUCAGUAGCCGGACUGAGAGGUUGAACGGCCACAUUGGGACUGAGAUACGGCCCAGACUCCUACGGGAGGCAGCAGUCGGGAAUUUUGCGCAAUGGAGGAAACUCUGACGCAGUGACGCCGCGUAUAGGAAGAAGGUUUUCGGAUUGUAAACUACUGUCGUUAGGGAAGAUACAAGACAGUACCUAAGGAGGAAGCUCCGGCUAACUACGUGCCAGCAGCCGCGGUAAUACGUAGGGAGCGAGCGUUAUCCGGAUUUAUUGGGUGUAAAGGGUGCGUAGACGGGAAAACAAGUUAGUUGUGAAAUCCCUCGGCUUAACCGAGGAACUGCAACUAAAACUAUUUUUCUUGAGUGCAGGAGAGGAAGGUGGAAUUCCUAGUGUAGCGGUGAAAUGCGUA
This 700-nucleotide ribosomal RNA is filed under the name uncultured bacterium. RNAcentral's name for it is "bacterial SSU rRNA". It matches the Rfam family "Bacterial small subunit ribosomal RNA", at positions 30 to 692 of the family's 1533-position model. The record is from RNAcentral.